RNAcentral lists this ribosomal RNA (492 nucleotides) under uncultured bacterium. RNAcentral's name for it is "partial 16S ribosomal RNA". It matches the Rfam family "Bacterial small subunit ribosomal RNA", at positions 30 to 507 of the family's 1533-position model. The record is from RNAcentral.
AUUGAACGCUGGCGGCAUGCUUUACACAUGCAAGUCGAACGGUAACAGGCCUUCGGGUGCUGACGAGUGGCGAACGGGUGAGUAAUGCAUCGGAACGUACCCAGAGGUGGGGGAUAACGCAGCGAAAGCUGUGCUAAUACCGCAUGUGAUCUGAGGAUGAAAGCGGGGGACCGCGCAGCAAUGUUUGGCCUCUCGCCUUUGGAGCGGCCGAUGUCGGAUUGGCUAGUUGGUGGGGUAAAGGCCUACCAAGGCGACGAUCCGUAGCUGGUCUGAGAGGACGACCAGCCACACUGGGACUGAGACACGGCCCAGACUCCUACGGGAGGCAGCAGUGGGGAAUUUUGGACAAUGGGCGCAAGCCUGAUCCAGCAAUGCCGCGUGAGGGAAGAAGGCCUUCGGGUUGUAAACCGCUUUUGGCAGGAACGAAACGGUGUCCGCUAAUACCGGGCGCUAAUGACGGUACCUGCAGAAUAAGCACCGGCUAACUACGUG